UUGCUCUUCAACGAGGAAUCCCUAGUAAGCGCAAGUCAUCAGCUUGCGUUGAUUACGUCCCUGCCCUUUGUACACACCGCCCGUCGCUACUACCGAUUGAAUGGCUCAGUGAGGCUUUCGGACUGGUCCAGGGAGGUCGGCAACGACCACCCAGGACUGGAAAGUUAUCCAAACUCGGUCAUUUAGAGGAAGUAAAAGUCGUAACAAGGUCUCCGUUGGUGAACCAGCGGAGGGAUCAUUAGCGAGUAUAACUCUCUAAAACCAUUGUGAACGAACAGACCGGUUGCUUCGGCGGACGGCUCGCCGCCGCCGAAAGAACUCAAACUCUUGUUAUUAUUGUCUCUCUGAGUAAUUUACUUAAUAAGUUAAAACUUUCAACAACGGAUCUCUUGGUUCUGGCAUCGAUGAAGAACGCAGCGAAAUGCGAUAAGUAAUGUGAAUUGCAGAAUUCAGUGAAUCAUCGAAUCUUUGAACGCACAUUGCGCCCGCCAGUAUUCUGGCGGGCAUGCCUGUUCGAGCGUCAUUUCAACCAUCAAGCCUCAGGCUUGUGUUGGGGGCCUGCAGCUGCUGCAGCCCCCUAAAAGCAGUGGCGGACUCGCUGUCAUACCGAGCGCAGUAGUUACAUCUCGCUCUGGGCGUGGCGGCGGGCACCUGCCGUGAAACACUCUUUCUAAGGUUGACCUCGGAUCAGGUAGGAAUACCCGCUGAACUUAAGCAUAUCAAUAAGCGGAGGA
RNAcentral lists this ribosomal RNA (734 nucleotides) under uncultured fungus. RNAcentral's name for it is "eukaryotic LSU rRNA". The stretch from base 1 to 241 matches the Rfam family "Eukaryotic small subunit ribosomal RNA", at positions 1593 to 1831 of the family's 1831-position model. The record is from RNAcentral. Lineage: Eukaryota; Fungi.